RNAcentral lists this ribosomal RNA (496 nucleotides) under uncultured bacterium. RNAcentral's name for it is "partial 16S ribosomal RNA". It matches the Rfam family "Bacterial small subunit ribosomal RNA", at positions 29 to 507 of the family's 1533-position model. The record is from RNAcentral.
AUGCACGCUGGCGGCGUGCCUAAUACAUGCAAGUCGCGCGAACAGACGAGGAGCUUGCUCCUCUGACGUUAGCGGCGGACGGGUGAGCAACACGUGGAUAACCUACCUAUAAGACUGGGAUAACUUCGGGAAACCGGAGCUAAUACCGGAUAAUAUAUUGAACCGCAUGGUUCAAUAGUGAAAGACGGUUUUGCUGUCACUUAUAGAUGGAUCCGCGCCGCAUUAGCUAGUUGGUAAGGUAACGGCUUACCAAGGCGACGAUGCGUAGCCGACCUGAGAGGGUGAUCGGCCACACUGGAACUGAGACACGGUCCAGACUCCUACGGGAGGCAGCAGUAGGGAAUCUUCCGCAAUGGGCGAAAGCCUGACGGAGCAACGCCGCGUGAGUGAUGAAGGUCUUCGGAUCGUAAAACUCUGUUAUUAGGGAAGAACAAAUGUGUAAGUAACUAUGCACGUCUUGACGGUACCUAAUCAGAAAGCCACGGCUAACUACGUG